This is a long non-coding RNA of Bufo bufo (common toad), 191 nucleotides long. RefSeq lists it as uncharacterized. The record is from RefSeq and is a predicted model, not a curated record. NCBI's taxonomy places the organism in Eukaryota, Metazoa, Chordata, Amphibia, Anura, Bufonidae. The transcript is spliced from 3 exons.
UGAAGUGAUCCGGGGCACUACGGGUGAGCCACGCAUGCUCGGAGGGAAAAGGGAAGCCUGUCCUGAGACGCUAGGGUUUCAGUGGACCAUCUUAGACGCAGGAAUCCCACCACUGAUCACACAUCACCAUCACGAUUGACAAAGGAUCGACAUCUUCUCACAAGAGGGCAGGAGACACAGUUCCCACACGG